AGAAUGAACGCUGGCGGCGUGCUUUACACAUGCAAGUCGAGCGAGGCGUGUAGCAAUACACAGUCGAGCGGCGAACGGGUGAGUAACACGUGGAUCAUCUACCUUCAGGUGGGGGAUAACCCGGGGAAACUCGGGCUAAUACCGCAUAACAUCGUGAGAUCAAAGGGGCGCAAGUCCCGCCAGAAGAGAGUCCGCGUUCGAUUAGCUAGUUGGUAGGGUAAUGGCCUACCAAGCGACGAUGGGUAGC
This 247-nucleotide ribosomal RNA is filed under the name uncultured soil bacterium. RNAcentral describes it as "partial 16S ribosomal RNA". It matches the Rfam family "Bacterial small subunit ribosomal RNA", at positions 26 to 287 of the family's 1533-position model. The record is from RNAcentral.